UGUUUUUGAUAUAACUUCAGAAAAAUUUUCUAAAUUCUAAUUGUUCAUUAAUUUGUAAUUGUGAGUUUUUUGAGAAAUUGUAAAAGAAGUCUUGUGUGAUUGUAAGCAGCUUUGGUCUGGCUCUGCUCAAAAGGCCAAGUGAUAAUGAAAUCGAUAUCUUGAGAAGAAGAAGAACCAGACUAAAGUAGGCAGAAAGGCCAAACCAGGAUAAAUCAUCUGUAUUAUUUGAGUUUGAUUUUCUUCUUUUAUGUGAUUGUGCAAUUUUUAUCUUGAUUUAAUUUUACUUGAAUUUUUAGUUGUCAACUAAUUCACCCCCCCCCCCCCUCUUAGUUGCCAUUUGAUCUUUCAUACUAUUCAACAAACCACUCACUCAACCCUGGGGCCCACAUGUAAUCGCACAUUUCUCGAUCCAAGGACUAAAAAGCUAAUAGCACUAAUAGUUUGGUGCUAUUGAUAGUAUUUCAGCCUAAUUCUGUAUAUCUAUACUACUUAUAAAAGCGUGAGUUUUAAAAUUUUUUCCUUUCCAAAAAUGCCUAUAUCAUUUUUACUUAUAUUGUUAUGUCCAGUAAUUUUCAACCAUCCAUUUUAAAUAAAUCUAUAAAUAAUAAUUAAUUCUCAAAUAUAGAUUUUAAGAUUUUUCCAUUGGAUCUCAUCCAACGAAUAAAAAUAAAAGUAUCUGUCAUUUUUGUUGACAAAAAUACCCUCAUAUCCGUUAUCUCCUAUGUACGCCGCGUUUCUUAAAUAUUUUUUUUUUACCCACCAAUCAUUUAAUAUGUAAAACUAAAUUUAUCUCUUAUCUAACGUAAUACCCGUUAAUCACGUAAUACCUCCGCUAAUCACGUAAUACGUAAAAUUAAAUUUAUUUCCUAUCCACGCAUUUUUUUCAAAUAUUUUUUCUAAUCAAAUGUAAUACCUGUCAACAUAUAGUAUUCAAAAUUAAAUUUUAAAUUUGUAAUACCCGCCAAAAUUUAAUACCCGCGAAUUUGAUAAUUUGAAUUUUAAUUUAUGGUAUUAGAAUUUUCCUUAUAUAAGAUAGUAGAUUUAAUUUUGACGAGUAUUAAAAUUUCGCGUGCCAUAGAAACGUUAAAUAUUGGUAAAAAAAAAUUUAAUAUCCCAAAUCAAAACUAAAUCAUUAUAAAUAUAAUUUUAAAUAUUUUUAGCAAAAUAUUUAAUAUUUAAAUAAUGGGUCAUAAAAGUAUAAAAUAUUUCUAAAAAAAUUAAUACCUAUCCAAUCAAAAUUAAAUUGAUAAUUAAAUAUAAUUUUAAAUUUUUUUAGUAAAAUAUUCAAUGUUUAAAUAAUAUCCACCAAAAUAUUCUCCGCAUUCUCAAAUAUAAAAUAUAUCUUAAUACCCUCGCAUAUAAUAUCUACACUACCCAAUCUUAUCUCAUCAUAAUAUUUAUCACACAAUAUAUACAUCAUAUCUUUUUUAUUAGCAUAUUUUUUUGGUAUUUUCUCAGCUAUACGUUUUUUAUAUAUAAAGUAUAUAUUUUUUUAGUAGUAUCCUUUUUUAUUUUUAUCUAUAUUUUUCUCAAAUAUUUUUUUAGUAAUAUCUUUUCUCAUUUGUUACAGCGGUACAUCGUCAUCCUCCUACUCAUCAUCAUUAUUUGUCUCGGUACAUUAUAGCGUUCACCACCUUCAUCAAA
RNAcentral lists this long non-coding RNA (1644 nucleotides) under Ananas comosus (pineapple). RNAcentral's name for it is "long non-coding RNA (ACOM_LNC026282)". The record is from RNAcentral. Lineage: Eukaryota; Viridiplantae; Streptophyta; Magnoliopsida; Poales; Bromeliaceae.